GUGGGUCCUUCCGAGGUGAACUGGGAGGACAUACAAUGACCCGUCUACCACGGGAUGUUCAUAACCCUUUGUUGUCCGACUCUGUUGCCUCCGGGGCGACCCUGCCUUCGGGCGGGGGCUCCGGGUGGACACUUCAAACUCUUGCGUAACUUUGCAGUCUGAGUAAACUUAAUUAAUAAAUUAAAACUUUUAACAACGGAUCUCUUGGUUCUGGCAUCGAUGAAGAACGCAGCGAAAUGCGAUAAGUAAUGUGAAUUGCAGAAUUCAGUGAAUCAUCGAAUCUUUGAACGCACAUUGCGCCCCCUGGUAUUCCGGGGGGCAUGCCUGUUCGAGCGUCAUUUCACCACUCAAGCCUCGCUUGGUAUUGGGCAACGCGGUCCGCCGCGUGCCUCAAAUCGACCGGCUGGGUCUUCUGUCCCCUAAGCGUUGUGGAAACUAUUCGCUAAAGGGUGUUCGGGAGGCUACGCCGUAAAACAACCCCAUUUCUAAGGUUGACCUCGGAUCAGGUAGGGAUACCCGCUGAACUUAAGCAUAUCAAUAA
Molecule: unclassified non-coding RNA, 541 nt
Filed under: Cladosporium sp. 4 SDM-2014
Lineage: Eukaryota; Fungi; Ascomycota; Dothideomycetes; Cladosporiales; Cladosporiaceae
Description: sequence contains ITS1, 5.8S rRNA gene and ITS2
Rfam family: 5.8S ribosomal RNA (bases 185-338)
Source: RNAcentral